Molecule: non-coding RNA, 7367 nt
Organism: Podarcis lilfordi (Lilford's wall lizard)
Lineage: Eukaryota; Metazoa; Chordata; Lepidosauria; Squamata; Lacertidae
Source: the annotation of a GenBank genome assembly
GUAGUUUAAGAUAGUGGAUUCUCCUUUUACAGGCAAGUUCCAUUAGCAGUGUUGCUGUUGGUACUCUUUCAGCACUAGGCAGACCUUUCUACCUUCACGUCAAUUGGCUAUGGUUCUCCGGGGUUUUUGGCUACCUGAUUGCAAAGGUAUUAUUGCUGCUUCUUUCAUUGUGUCACCUCACAAAUUUGUAAUGGUAGGAGAGGCAUUGAACUGGAUCCUUAGAAGGAAUAUUGUAUUCUUAUGAUGGGGAAAGGGGCACUCAGCCCCAUCCCAAUGAAAGAUCCCCUUAAGUGAUCUUGGAGGGCACUGCUCUCCUGGAGCCUCUCCAUUCAGAAGCCCAACUUGGGGGGCUUAUGGGCUCUAGUUCCCCCUACCAGGUUGCCUGCAAGAGUUCACCCAAAAUUGUAUAUUGACCAGCACUUGGGCUGCUCAGCCAUCAGAUCUAAUCACCAGGCCUAUGUCAAAACCAUUCUCUGUAAUCAAUAAUUAAUGCCAUGCCCUUAUUUUACCCCAGAUAUAUCUCAUGGCUGUUCUAUUCCUCUCCCUGAUUCACUGCAUAUCUGCCCACAAAUUGUGAUAAUCCUGGGCUCAGUUUGCUUUUAGACGUCUUCCACUUUGGGUAGAUGUUUCUACUAAUCACGUUUUCAUUUAUUAUCCUGAGAUUUUCUCUUUUUACAAUAACAGAGAGUAUAUUUUAUUGCUACAGACAGGCCAUAUUUUUCAAUGCUUGUUACUGCAAAUUUUACAAACCAUUCUUUCAGUUCACUUAAUCUAUUGGCUUUACGUUAGGAAAUGCUAGACCCUUCUUCUCCCUUUGCUGAAAAAGAGUUUUUACUGUAACUGUUUGUUUCCUAGCUUCCCAUAGAAAGAUUUAAGGUUUUGUCAUAUUUUGAGUAAGGUUUUGGUGAUCUUUAAUGGAAUAUUUAACAAUAAAAAUAAAACUCAUGGCAUUAUGUUUAUUUUGAUAACUCAACUUCUUGCCAUCUAGUGGAGCUUUCAAUUAUUCUGAUUUACCACAAUCAUUUAUUUCCUGCAUUAGUUUGUCAUGGUUGAAAGCAAUCAUAUUAUCCAAAUCAUAAGUUAUCCAGCAUCCCAGAUAUCUGAUAGGUCUUUCUUUCCAUGGAAUUGAAUUUUUUUUUAGCUAACUCAUUUUUCACUUCUCCCUUUGUAUUACAACCAAACCAAAUCAGAUUUAAUUAGGUUUAUCUUAAGGCCUAAGACCUUAAAAAAGCUCCAGUACUUUCUUAAGUGGGUGGGUAGAGAGUUUGGGCUUUUAAUAAUUUGAGACUGUGUAAUUAUAUGGGCAAAGUAUUACAGAUUAGCAGAAGAGAACCUUCUAAAAUAUAUCUAAAAGAAGGAACAGACUGUCAGUUUUGAACCUGUGAAAAAAAUAAUGAUUUUUAAAUGUGUUAUAAUAUUGUUGCUGCAGUCCAAAGUGAUUGACAACAACAAGAGGUUUUCAUUCUGUAAAAAGAAUGAAUAAGUGAUUUGCUGUCCUUAGGUGGCAGCCACAUUCCCACAAAGGACUCAGGAAUUUUCUAUAAGUGUUAUGAACGAGAGAACCUGUUUUCUUCUAACAGGGGAGUUGCCUACAGAUUGACAAACCCCCCAAAAUGACAUUUUUCCUUAUUAAUUGUUUAUAUUUGAGAUCUGACCAUUUCAAGUAAUGCCUUAUUCAUUUGUAACACCUCACCCUUUUAAGUUUUCUAACCUGUUUUCCCCUGCAGAUAGAAUUUUGCACCUGGAAUUACAGAUGGAUGUUAAAAACACUGUGUGGGUAGAACUCAGAUGAGCCAUAUUCAUAAACUGUUUUCUUUCAGCCAGUUGCAAAUAUACUCUCAAUGCAAAUAUUAUUAUUUUUUAGGGGGAGGGAGGGCAGCAGGCAGCAAAAAAUAAAAUAAAAAUGUAAUUCUUCAUUCCUGUCACACUUGUAAGAUACUUAUAUCAGCUAUGAAGUUAAAUUUGCUUAAAGAUGUGGAUGAAAUUUAGAUUGAAAGUGCCUAAUAUGCAAACUUAGUUUCAGUUUUGUUUAGCAGUUUCCAUAAUACUACGUCUCUAGUUUUGCGACUGCAUAGAUUUGAUGCUUUUUAAAAAAAAUAAAAAAUGGCUCAUCUCAUUUAAUGCCCCUUCUGUGUACAACCCCUUGGAAAAGAUUCUCGUUGUUAGAAAGUGGUGCAGUGCCAAUGGAAUGUUAAUUGGAGGGACGUGAAUAGCAAAGUCCACCUCCUUAUAACCUUCUGCCACAACCCCUCCUUAAUUAGCAGAUUGAAUUUAUUUAGCCUUUGAAUGGUUCCCCAUCCCCAAUGGAGACUAGCAUUGUCAUUGUGACCUUCAUUGGGAAUUGCGGCAGCUUGUUUAGGAAUUGGUACAAAGCAUUUUUUUAAAAAAAGUAUAUAUAUUUUAAACUUGACUCAUUGAAGGAACUCAGAGCAAACAGGAAAAAAUAAGACACAGAAAUAUCUUUAUCACCAACUCCAGUUUCUUGUGCUGAUAAAGGAUCCAUUGUGCCAGCCCCUCCUCCAUGCUGGGGGAAUUGUGGUUGUUGUAUCAGCCAUCCCUCCUGUUUACGGCUGCUGUUGUCGAAUGCCAGGUUGGCUUGGAGUAAGAUCCCCACCCCCACCCAAUCCAUGAUCUGAUUGUGGAUGAGGGGACAGAUCUGGUCUGUUUCACUGGGACUUGGGUGGGUGAGCAGGGUGGAAUUGGUCUCUCCCUGCUGUGCCCACCUAGAUACUUGGCACAGCAUCAGGGCUCUCUGUCCGGUUGGAGUGGAGGAUCUAGUGUGUGUGUUCCUGGCUUUGGGCAAUUGGGACAGCGGUCUCCCUGCCUGAGCUGACAGAGCUGGUCCCGGAGGCAGUGUUGAGGACUCCCAGACUGCUGGUCUGGAGGACAUUUCUGUCAGUGGCAUAAUUGAGGAAGAGUUUUAUAUUGGGAAAUGUACUGACUCUGAAAAAUACUGAAUGAUUUAAUGCAUUGUGUUUUUCAGUCUCUACCUUCUUUCUGUUUGUAAACAUUCCUUAUACAGGAAACUGUCAACUGGGAUUACCUCAGCUACAAUAGUCAAAAUACAGUGAUUUGAAUGUGUUAUAAACAUGCAACACCAGAUGGGACCAGAGAGCACAAAACCUUUCCAUAGCAUUUUUACAUAGGUUUUUGUUGUUGUUGUUGUUAUAACAAUGUAAUUUCUGAUUUAUUUAUUGUCCCCCACAUGUGUAGAUCCACCCCCACCCACUAUUGGAUGCAUUUAGGACAUCCAUCUAGAUCUAUGUUUCUAUCCCAAAUGCAUCCAAGAGGUGUUUUUUUUAAAUGCAACUGAUAAAAGUUAAAAAGAAGAGGGUUCAUCCCAUUCAUUUCUCAUUCAUUCUGAGGUAGGUGACAUUUGGGAAGCAAAUUUCUAGUAUGGUACAGAUGUCAUAUAGGUUCUGCAGACACCAGCCUGGAGCCACGUCUUGUCAGUGUUAUAAACAUGAGUGGUUUGUACAUACCGAUGGCCCUGCCAGGAUGAGACAGAAUGGGAAUCUGAUGAACUUUCCCCUUAACAAGGAGAAUGUUUAGAUUUUGAAACCUUAUGUGGGGCUGUUUCUUCAGAGGCGUUAGUGCGUCCUUGGAUUGGCUGCAGGAAAGUUUGGCAGGAAUUGCAGACUUCCGUCUCCCAGGCUGCCGAGAGACUAGUUAUCCAGGCCGUGUUCCUCUGAAGAUGAUAUGUUCUCAGUUAAGCAAAAGCAUUCUCAGCAUGCGGCAUGACACCAGAGAGGGGGGAGAGUUAGGGAGCUGGUGUCAGAUUCAGAACCUACUCAGGCCAGUUCAUGAGGCUCAGAGCCAAUGUUCCCCCCCUCUCUUCCUGUUGCUUUGAAAUGUUUCGAGUGUUUACAAAUUCUAUACUUUAAAGUAAUUUUUAGGGUUUAGAAUACAAUCAAAGAAGAAACACUCUUUAAAAAUCCAAGUUUGAAAAAUUCUGUGUUUCUGUAUUUGUGUCUUUAUAAUAUUUUGUGUCCCACUUUGUGGUAAAAAGGACCUUAAGGUGUAUUAUGAACAGGUUUAACAGGUUGUUAUUGUGUUAUAGAUGUAGCCGUAUCAAUUGAUUUCAUUAAAACAUUCAGAUUAUUGGAGGAUAUAGUAUAUAUACUAUAUAGUGCUUGGUAGAUUGAAGGCUGUUUGUAUCAGUUUGCUUUAAUUAAUUGUGAUGGAAAAGCAUGAGAAACAUUUGAAUCCUAUGGCCCAGAUACAAGAGGCAGAACUACAAGUAAUCAACCAGCUUUCCCACCUGCUUCCAACCAAAGAGACAUUAUUAUUCUGCUGUUGGGAUUCUUAAGUAUCUGUAGUCUGAGAUCUUUCUGAUUGUGUCCAUGUUGUACAAAAUGCUGAACAACCGAGUCUUCUAUCCCAUGGUUGCUUAUGCUGCUUUUGUGUUCACACAUGCGAGUCUGGUACCUGCUGGAUUGUUCAUAUCGUUAUAUCAGUGAAGCUCUCCAGCUUUAGUCACAAACUGAUCAGAGUUGUGAUUCAUAUGCCCUUAAAAAUUUUGGAUUAAGAAUUAUCCUGGUAUUCAUUUAUAAUUAUUAGCUACCUGGGGUUUGUUGAGGGCUUGCCUUAGAUUAGGUGAAUUCUUGCUGCAAAAGGCAAGUAUUUGACUCAGCCCAAAAUGUUCCAGAUAUGCAAUAUAAGGCAUACAUUUCUGUCAAGUUCUAGUGAUGCUGAGCCACAUAUGGGAUUUUGAUAUUCAGUCCUGGUCAAAUAGAUUGUAUUGCCAGGAACUGCUAUUGAUUUUGUAUGAGUUGGUUUUUCUUUUUGCACUGGAGGGAUUGAGAAUCCAAUGCUGUACUAUUUGCUAAAGUGAUCUUGACAUUUCUCUACUCCUAUGGGAUUUUUACCCAACAGAAUAGUUUUAAAUAAAAUGCUGCUACAGGUUGAGACAAGUGAUGUGAGAUACAUAUAUAUAUAUGAAGAUAAAUACAGUAAAUGAACUAAAGUAAAGUACAAAGAUUCACAAAAUGUUUAGGGGUAUGCGUACCCCUGCGUCCCACCAGAAAAAAAGCACUGUGUGUGUGGAGCGAGAGAGCAGAACCAGGUUUCCUUUUUACCACUACAGCUGUAUUCAUACUGCAGGGUAUUCAAUUUCCCUAGUGUUUUCCCUGUUCAUUUCUACAUUGUAUUUGAACUUUCUCAUGAUGUAAAUGCCACUUAUGGAAAACUAAUGGAAUAUAGUGCAUGCUUGGCGCUAAAUUCUGCAUUACUUGAUUCCCCCACCAAAUCUGUUUGCGUUCCCCUUAAUCUGGAAAAUUACAGGUGUAAAAUGAAAAAAUUGGGGGCAUUAUACUGGCAUACUGCUGCUUUCAUGGGUGAAUUAUGGGCGAACAGAAGUGUGCUUGUAUGGAAAGGAUGCGGGAGUAAUAAUUUAUUUGUAUCCCGCCCUCCCCAGCUAAAGCUGGGGCCAGAGUGGCUAACAACGGAUAAAAAUAGUACAGUGUACAUAAAAUCACGUUGUUGUGUUGCACCAUGCUCAUUGGUGUGGAUGAAAUUUAGUUCAACGUGCUGCUAUAUUGGUCAGAAAGCCACAGUUCCAUAAUACAACGGGUACUGCAGUGUUAAAGGAACAUUAGAAAAAGGUUCAGUUCUUCUUCCCUUUACUCAGGGGUCAGCGAACUAUGACCCAGGGUCUGGAUGUGGCCCACCGGGCUCAUAAAUCUGGCCUGUGGACCCUGCGGACCCUGCCGCCCGCUCAGUAAGUCCCCUUUCUAAACCGGCACAGCGGCUGACUUCCGUGACGCUGGCACGGCUUUGGAUUGGCUGCAGGAAGCCAAUACUCCACCAUGUCAUAAAUCUUUAAGGCUAGAAUGCCCCAAGAGCUGUGAGGGACCUGGUGCUAGAUGCUUGGAAAGUGGUACUUAGUUUAUUUUUAUGCUCAUAUUCCACUCAGAAUCUGAACUGGGGAAGAUAUCAGGAGUGGUAAUUCUCAUCCUGAAGGUGAGCUUGAAUACAAGCUUACAAAGUUUUAUUUCCAGGCCAAGAAGUUUGAGUUCCACAAGCAUCUUUAAAUGAAAGGAAUGAUCCUUCCAUAACAGCGACCAAAUUUUAUGUUUAAAGAAUAUGUAUAUUUGUUGAAUGCAUUAUGAAUGUACAUAACCUUGUUAAAAUUACAUAUCUUGAAAACAGACCUAGAGCUAUCUACUGCCUGCCUUAGAUUGCAGUUGAAACAGCAGAAAAUGCCUUUGCACAUUUUUAUGUAAUUUAAAUAAGUUAUAAAAAUGAAACAUAGCUCACUGUAAACAAUAGCUAAGUUGGGAGCUGAGUUUCAUAAGCAAAAUGUUCUUUUAUCAUUAAGAACAUGGAUUUUCACAGGCAAAGAUAGAAGAGUCUGGUUCAGAUAACAUUUUUCUACAUUAUUUGGAGAUUUAUAAAUGCAGCAAAUUAUAGUCGGCAAUAUACAGUAGGUAAUGAGUCGUAUGGUGCCUCUGAUAGAUAGAUGAUAUAUGAGAGAGAGAGAGAGAAAGAGUUCUAUGAUAAGGUGGGCACAGGAUAUUGGGUAUAAUAUUAUGUUUGAGGACUGGGAAAGGCUGUGGAGUAAUGGACUGAAAUUUACUGCAUGUAAUGCUUUGAAAGAAAAUGUAAUGAAAAUGAUUUAUAGAUGGUAUAUGACCCCAGUCAAACUCGCAAAAAUUUACCACCUGUCUGAUAACAAGUGCUGGAAAUGUAAAGAGUGUGAAGGAACGUUCUUUCACCUCUGGUGGACCUGCCCUAAAGUGAAGGCGUUCUGGGAAAUGAUUUAUAAUGAACUGAAAAAGGUAUUUAAAUAUACUUUCACUAAGAAACCAGAGGCUUUCCUUUUGGGUAUUGUCAGCCAAGGGGUGGCAAAGAAGGACCAAACAUUUUUAUGUAUGCAACAACAGCAGCAAGGAUACUACUCGCAAAACAUUGGAAAACUCAAGAUCUACCCACACUGGAAGAAUGGCAGAUGCAACUGAUAGACUAUAUGCAACUGGCUGAAAUGACUGGCAGAAUCCGUGACCUGGGAGAAGAGAGAAUCGAGGAGGAUUGGAAGAAAUUUAAGAACUACCUGCAAAAACAUUGUGAUUUGAUUGAAUGCUGAAUAAGAUGCUUGACUAAAUAACUGAGCACCACUUAACUUAGAAGUUUUUAAGAAAAUAAGAAAAAUUGUGAAAGUUUAACUCUUUAUGAGAACUAUAAGAUCAUGAAAUAUCGAAGAGAUAUAAGAAUUUAAAUAAGAUGAUAAAUUGCUGACAAAAUGUUAUAAUGAUGAAGGUGGGAGCGGGAGAUGUGAGGAAGUCCAAAGAAAAUGUGAAAUUAUGUUAAGACGAAUGUUAUAUUGUUUAUUACAUUUAUUCCUAUUGUAAAAUCCAAUAAAUUGCUUU